GGCCUGGUGGUCUAGUAGUAUGAUUCCUUCUUAGGGUAUUCAGUCAUUUGGAGGAGGUCCCGGGUUCAAUUCCCGGCCAGGCCC
Molecule: transfer RNA, 84 nt
Filed under: Gloeophyllum trabeum ATCC 11539
Lineage: Eukaryota; Fungi; Basidiomycota; Agaricomycetes; Gloeophyllales; Gloeophyllaceae
Description: tRNA-Pro
Rfam family: tRNA
About the family: Transfer RNA (tRNA) molecules are approximately 80 nucleotides in length. Their secondary structure includes four short double-helical elements and three loops (D, anti-codon, and T loops).
Source: RNAcentral